GCUUUGCUACGGUGGUGGGGAACCCCCGACGAGACGCGCCGUACCGGGUAGCCGUGGCUGUAGGACAAGACGACGCACC
This 79-nucleotide non-coding RNA is filed under the name Streptomyces sp. The record is from RNAcentral. Lineage: Bacteria; Bacillati; Actinomycetota; Actinomycetes; Kitasatosporales; Streptomycetaceae.